Pelobates cultripes (western spadefoot toad) is the source of this 693-nucleotide non-coding RNA. Lineage: Eukaryota; Metazoa; Chordata; Amphibia; Anura; Pelobatidae. The record is from the annotation of a GenBank genome assembly.
CUCAUAGUUGCGUAAUUUAAAAAAAUAAAUGAUUUCCUCUUUCUUGUCUUCUUUCCAGAGUCCAUACCCUUUGACCAACCUUGGAUUUAUUUCUGCUUUAGUGGCCCAUUCCCAAAUCAAAUUUCCAAAAUUAUUAUCCGUUUGUGAUUUGUUUUGUCUGACUGGUGUCUUGUUUUGAUUGUUACAUUUUUCUAUUAAAUUAGAUACGUAAUUCUUGCUGGAAUUGGGGAUACGUUUUCCAUGGGAAGGCAUCUUCAUUGGAAAUUAUUGCCAAAAUGUUUUUUUAUUAUUAGUAAAACUUCUGAACUUAAUUACACAAUAUUCACAUUGUAUGGCUUAAUGUAGAACUGUUAGUUGUUUUGAGAAGACUAGUCAAGUUUGAGUUCACCUCUAGAUGAUAGAUGUCUGAAAUAUGAUCCCAUUUCUUGAACUUUGAAACAGAAAUAGUUUGACUUGUCACUUUACAAGAGGCUCCAAUAGAGGCUCCAGAAAAUACUCGAUAUAACACAUUUGUGCUUGUGGGUGAACUUUUUCAGCUUGCCUUAUUCAUGUCCUGCCAAUGAAAAAGAUUUAAACAGCAUCAAACACUAGUUUAUCAAAAUGGUUUAAGCAGUAUCAAACACUAGAUUGAGAAUUAUAUAGAUAAUAAACAUUUACCUAUAUUUACCCUGUUAUUAACAUGCUAUUGGCACU